AAGCAUCAGAGGGGGCUUUAACUAUAGCUCCAUGAAAGAUCCUGCACAGAGAUCUCUUGAGGAGCUGUGGACAAUACUCCCAAAAGGAAACCCGAGACCAUCCUCGGAAUUACAACAUCAUCCACUACAGCAAGGAAGCAUAAAACAGCUCAUUAGCAGCCCUAUCAAGUGACGGACCUAAAGCCAGCUCCAAAGUGCCCACACCUGUCUGCCCACACUGCCAGCCAGAAGGCCGGAUUCCACCGAGUAAAGAAUCAUUAUCCCAGCUCUACAUCUGGAUGUGGGACAGCUGCAGAGCUUCAGGGCACCACAGUGUAUCCAGAAGCAAGCAACUGAG
Molecule: long non-coding RNA, 337 nt
Filed under: Gallus gallus (chicken)
Lineage: Eukaryota; Metazoa; Chordata; Aves; Galliformes; Phasianidae
Description: long non-coding RNA NONGGAT008224
Source: RNAcentral